Molecule: ribosomal RNA, 524 nt
Filed under: uncultured bacterium
Lineage: Bacteria
Description: partial 16S ribosomal RNA
Rfam family: Bacterial small subunit ribosomal RNA
Source: RNAcentral
GACGAACGCUGGCGGCGUGCCUAAUACAUGCAAGUCGAGCGCAGGAAGCUGACGGAACUCUUCGGAGGGAAGGCAGUGGAAUGAGCGGCGGACGGGUGAGUAACACGUAAGGAACCUGCCUCAAGGAUUGGGAUAACUCCGAGAAAUCGGAGCUAAUACCGGAUAGUUCAACGGACCGCAUGGUCCGCUGAUGAAAGGCGCUUCGGCGUCACCUUGAGAUGGCCUUGCGGUGCAUUAGCUAGUUGGUGAGGUAACGGCCCACCAAGGCGACGAUGCAUAGCCGACCUGAGAGGGUGAUCGGCCCCACUGGGACUGAGACACGGCCCAGACUCCUACGGGAGGCAGCAGUAGGGAAUCUUCCACAAUGGACGAAAGUCUGAUGGAGCAACGCCGCGUGAGUGAUGAAGGUUUUCGGAUCGUAAAACUCUGUUGUAAGGGAAGAACACGUACGAGAGGAAAUGCUCGUACCUUGACGGUACCUUACGAGAAAGCCACGGCUAACUACGUGCCAGCAGCCGCCGCGG